AUGCAGGUAAUAGGUUCCGCUUCAACAUUGAAGAAAGAUAAACACUGGACCAACCUUGUUGAGAGUGCCAAAGAGCGAAACCGUUAUUUCAAGGUGCCAAAGCCAUUCACUGCGUUCUUCACCGAGGAUAGUUUCAAAUCCAUGAAGGUGGAAAGACCUGUUCCAGACGCGAGGAUAUCACAGGCAGUAGAAGCCAUCAAUGAAGUGGUUGCAAGGCCAGAAGUGAUGGACGCAGACGAUGCUGGGGACCAUCAAGCGGAUGGAGAUGAUUAUGACGCCAUGGAGGCUGACGAUGGAGGAGGUGGUGAUGAUUAA
RNAcentral lists this ribosomal RNA (315 nucleotides) under Triticum aestivum (bread wheat). RNAcentral's name for it is "partial small subunit ribosomal RNA". Lineage: Eukaryota; Viridiplantae; Streptophyta; Magnoliopsida; Poales; Poaceae. The record is from RNAcentral.